CUACGGGGUGCAGCAGGCGCGAAACCUUUACAAUGCACGCAAGUGUGAUAAGGGAACCCCAAGUGCUCAUGCUAUGCAUGGGCUUUUGCCAAGUGUAAAUAACUUGGCGAAUAAGUGGUGGGUAAGACUGGUGCCAGCAGCCGCGGUAACACCAGCGCCACAAGUGGGAGUCAUGUUUAUUGGGUCUAAAGCGUCCGUAGCUGGUUUGGUAAAUUUCUUGUGAAAUCAUCGGACUUAAUCUGAUGGCGUGCAGGAAAGACUGCCAGACUUGGAACCGGGAGGGGUUAGAGGUAUUCUAGGGGGAGCGGUAAAAUGCGAUAAUCCCUAGAGGACCACCUGUGGCGAAGGCGUCUAACCAGAACGGAUUCGACAGUGAGGGACGAAAGCUAGGGGAGCGAUCCGGAUUAGAUACCCGGGUAGUC
RNAcentral lists this ribosomal RNA (422 nucleotides) under uncultured archaeon. RNAcentral's name for it is "partial 16S ribosomal RNA". It matches the Rfam family "Archaeal small subunit ribosomal RNA", at positions 323 to 746 of the family's 1478-position model. The record is from RNAcentral.